This 679-nucleotide long non-coding RNA is filed under the name Ursus maritimus (polar bear). RNAcentral describes it as "lncRNA (ENSUMAG00000014584.1)". Lineage: Eukaryota; Metazoa; Chordata; Mammalia; Carnivora; Ursidae. The record is from RNAcentral.
GAGGUGAGAAAAACAGAGGCGUCAAAGAUGACUCCAAGUCUUGGGCCGGAGCGGUUGGAAGGUCGGAGUCCCCGGCAGAAGACUAGAUACGUGCACCAGCAGUUUGGAAGAGGGGCCGACUGCAGGUUAUACAGCUCCUCCCAGGACGUGCUGAAGAGAAGUCAGUCAGAAUGAGCACAAAACACAUGAUGUUCAGCUAAAAUUAACUGACACCAUCCCAAAUGCUUUCUUCGGAGCAAGAACCAGGAAAGAAGGUAUUGUUUCCACCGGUUAAGAGAGGCAGAAAGGCGCGAGCCCAAGGACUCCACGGCGCAGCGAUGAGAAUCUACAUGGGGAAUGAGAACCCAGUCUACUGGCAGACCCUCCAGCUUGGAUGUUGACUGGAUGCCACUCGGACGACACCCCUGCCCGUUUCGCUUCCCCCCUCCCUCCCGCUGCUCUAGGAACACCCAGCCUUCACUCCUCGCCGCUUUCAUUUGAUCCUUCAUCGACUUUUACAGAUGAAUGCAAACACACCAGAAUAGGUGGCACUGCGCUAGCCCUCUGCCUCAGGAACGCGAGCUGGGGGAGGAAGGCUGCCCCAGCUGCCAAGACCACUUCCUGCAGCAGUGAUCACGGGAUCCGGUGUUCGGCUGUGUUUGAUUGCGGCCUUCCAGAACCUCGCUCUGUCACAGCAUAA